RNAcentral lists this transfer RNA (78 nucleotides) under Candidatus Edwardsbacteria bacterium GWE2_54_12. RNAcentral describes it as "tRNA-Ala". It matches the Rfam family "tRNA". From Rfam's summary of the family: Transfer RNA (tRNA) molecules are approximately 80 nucleotides in length. Their secondary structure includes four short double-helical elements and three loops (D, anti-codon, and T loops). Lineage: Bacteria; Candidatus Edwardsiibacteriota. The record is from RNAcentral. RNAcentral also lists the same sequence under 6 other names.
GGGCCUGUGGCGCAGUUUUGGUAGCGUGCCUGACUGGCAGUCAGGAGGUCAGGGGUUCGAGCCCCCUCAGGUCCACCA